UUUAUUCAUAAAAAUACCAAAAAAUAUUUUUUGCACUCUUUAAUGUUUUAUUUAAUUUAUCUAAUUUUUACAUUCUUAUUUUAUUUAACGUUAAUAUUUUAAAUUAAUUAUUUGUUUCAAAUAGUCCAUUUUAACACAUAUUUUUUCAUUUAUUUUAUUUUCAUGACUUAGGAUUAUUUUUAAUUUCUGAUUUUUGGGAUGAGGGUUGACCUGUGUCUCAUGGUCAACCUGACCUUUUAUUGGAAUUU
Molecule: long non-coding RNA, 248 nt
Filed under: Lathyrus oleraceus (garden pea)
Lineage: Eukaryota; Viridiplantae; Streptophyta; Magnoliopsida; Fabales; Fabaceae
Description: Pisum sativum (pea) long non-coding RNA (PSAT_LNC018086)
Source: RNAcentral